UACCCCAAACAGGCAUACCAUGAGUAUGUCGGUUCCAAAACACCUGAGAAGAGUUAGCUUAAUCAACCUCUGACUGGUUACCCAGAGUUAAUGCGCGUGCACGGUGCAUGUAUAAAGACAUUUUCAAUGGAUCGCCGAUUUCACGAGUCACCAUGGAAACUCAAAGCGAAAAAAAGAGAGCGGCGUAUUUCACAGAGGCGGAGUUGGAAGUUUUAAUGCAUGCUUAUGAGGAGUUUAAGCCAAUAAUAUUAAAAAGAAGCAAUACAGCUGCAUCGGCUAAAGCAAGAGAGUUGGCUUGGCAAAAAAUAACGGACAGAGUAAAUGCGUGAGUGUAUUAAAUUACAAAUUUGGUAUUGGCUCCCGUUUUAUUGAAAUGCAAAAUAAUGAAGUAUGACUUAUACAUACUUUUGAAUAUGUUAAAUCACUAUGAAAGCAUUUACUUUUCCUGCCAUUUUAUUUCUUUAGCUUGAAAUAAUAAUGUAUAUUUCUUAUUUAAUAAGGUGUAAUCCUUCUGGAGCCACAAGAACUUUAAGCCAAGUCAAAAUGAAACACAAAAACAUUCUGCAAAAAGCUAACAGAAAAAAGACUGAAGCCCGUCUAACUGGCGGGGGGCCACCACCACCUCCCCUCACCCCAUCUGAGGAGCUGGCUCUGUCCCUUAAUAAAGGGCGACCAGUGGUUGCUGGCAUUCCAGGGGGCACUUCAUCACACAUACUAUGCACCACAAGUGAUGGUUAGAAAAGGGUGACAUAUACUGAUGGACAGAUUGUAUUAUUGGACUCUCCAGAAAGAACACAGUCUGUCACAGUUGAUGAAGAUGAUGAUGACGAUGAAGAGACCACAUCUGCUGUGACAGAAGUGGACAAUGCUGGUAGAUCCACUGAGUACAUACCUAGGGAUCUGCCCACAGAUGAGGGUCCUUCAGCCUCAGCACACAAUCUAAGCAGGGUAAGAAUUUGUGUCCAUGUGUCCAUAUUUUAAUUUUAUUGUCUGACCAAACAAUCUCAUUUAUUACAUUUUUCCACCUUAGUUGCCAGCAAAGGAGCUGUAUAAGGUCCAUCUUCAAAAACAAAUAAGAAAAAGUGACAUGGAGAUGGACCUUAUACAGCUUCAAAUGGAAGAGAAAAGGCUCCUCAUUAAAAAAGCAGCACUUGAAAUAGAAUUACUUGAGAAUCGCCUUAAGGAAAUGAAGAAAUAAACUGCCUGGCAGACCAGUGCAAAAAAAACUAAUAAAAGUA
Molecule: long non-coding RNA, 1238 nt
Organism: Carassius auratus (goldfish)
Lineage: Eukaryota; Metazoa; Chordata; Actinopteri; Cypriniformes; Cyprinidae
Exons: 6
Source: RefSeq, a predicted model, not a curated record